AACCAGCACCCUCGAGUGGUCAGGAGGUUUAUUGGGCCUAAAGCAUCCGUAGCCGGUUGCAUAAGUUUUCGGUUAAAUCUAUGCGCUUAACGUAUAGGCCGCCGAAAAUACUGUGCAGCUAGGGAGUGGGAGAGGUACACGGUACUCGAUAGGAAGGGGUAAAAUCCUUUGAUCUAUUGAUGACCACCUGUGGCGAAGGCGGUGUACCAGAACACGUUCGACGGUGAGGGAUGAAAGCUGGGGGAGCAAACCGGAUUAGAAACCCUAGUAGU
RNAcentral lists this ribosomal RNA (272 nucleotides) under uncultured bacterium. RNAcentral's name for it is "partial 16S ribosomal RNA". It matches the Rfam family "Archaeal small subunit ribosomal RNA", at positions 474 to 745 of the family's 1478-position model. The record is from RNAcentral.